GACGAACGCUGGCGGCGUGCUUAACACAUGCAAGUCGAACGGAAAGGCCCUGCUUCUGUGGGGUGCUCGAGUGGCGAACGGGUGAGUAACACGUGAGUAACCUGCCCUUGACUUUGGGAUAACUUCAGGAAACUGGGGCUAAUACCGGAUAGGAGCUCCUGCUGCAUGGUGGGGGUUGGAAAGUUUCGGCGGUUGGGGAUGGACUCGCGGCUUAUCAGCUUGUUGGUGGGGUAGUGGCUUACCAAGGCUUUGACGGGUAGCCGGCCUGAGAGGGUGACCGGCCACAUUGGGACUGAGAGACGGCCCAGACUCCUACGGGAGGCAGCAGUGGGGAAUAUUGCACAAUGGGCGGAAGCCUGAUGCAGCAACGCCGCGUGCGGGAUGACGGCCUUCGGGUUGUAAACCGCUUUCGCCUGUGACGAAGCGUGAGUGACGGUAAUGGGUAAAGAAGCACCGGCUAACUACGUG
Molecule: ribosomal RNA, 468 nt
Filed under: uncultured bacterium
Lineage: Bacteria
Description: partial 16S ribosomal RNA
Rfam family: Bacterial small subunit ribosomal RNA
Source: RNAcentral